This is a long non-coding RNA of Spodoptera frugiperda (fall armyworm), 605 nucleotides long. RefSeq lists it as uncharacterized. The transcript has 5 exons. The record is from RefSeq and is a predicted model, not a curated record. Lineage: Eukaryota; Metazoa; Arthropoda; Insecta; Lepidoptera; Noctuidae.
CCAGGAACCUGCACCUGCACCUGCACCUGUACCUAAACCUUCGACAUCGAAAGGUUCAAGUACAGGUUCCAAAGCGCCCAGGCCGAGGCGCGGCAGACCAACCGGUGCAAACCGGACCCCUCUCUCCCUGGAAGAACGGCGCGCAAGAAAUGCGCAGUACGAAAGGGAGAGGAGGGAGGAUUUAGCCCAGGCCCAGGCUGAGCUAGCUGAGGCCGCUGGGUGCGACCCAAAUGUAUCGGAGGCCGACUUGUUGGCAUUUGUAGUCAAUAAGUUGAGUGCAGACAAAUUAGAAGUAAAGCAGAGCAUUGAAGAAUACAGGCGGUUAAACGCCAAGUUGGAGGCACAGAUUGCCAGUUGUCUCCAGCGGUUGGGCCCGGACUAUGUUGAUAGUGAUGAUGAUGAGGAGGUGCAGCUGGAAGAGCCCAAUGGUCGGAAACGUAAAUCAUCAGAUGAGACGGUUGGUGAUGGCAAACGUUUGCGGCGCAGUGGGAAGCAAAUCCCAGCAAGUUGGAUCUCACCCACUGACCUGGCUGAAGCUGGGCCUUCUUCCUACACGCACACUGCAGCACAUCCACAGCAGUCACAACCAACAUCACUAUCACCAC